Molecule: ribosomal RNA, 497 nt
Filed under: uncultured bacterium
Lineage: Bacteria
Description: partial 16S ribosomal RNA
Rfam family: Bacterial small subunit ribosomal RNA
Source: RNAcentral
GAUGAACGCUGGCGGUGUGCCUAAUACAUGCAAGUCGAGCGAACAGACGAGGAGCUUACUCCUCUGACGUUAGCGGCGGACGGGUGAGUAACGCGUGGAUAACCUACCUAUAAGACUGGGAUAACUUCGGGAAACCGGAGCUAAUACCGGAUAACAUGUUGAACCGCAUGGUUCAACAGUGAAAGACGGUCUUGCUGUCACUUAUAGAUGGAUCCGCGUCGCAUUAGCUAGUUGGUAAGGUAACGGCUUACCAAGGCAACGAUGCGUAGCCGACCUGAGAGGGUGAUCGGCCACACUGGAACUGAGACACGGUCCAGACUCCUACGGGAGGCAGCAGUAGGGAAUCUUCCGCAAUGGGCGAAAGCCUGACGGAGCAACGCCGCGUGAGUGAAGAAGGUCUUCGGAUCGUAAAACUCUGUUAUUAGGGAAGAACAAAUGUGUAAGUAACUAUGCACGUCUUGACGGUACCUAAUCAGAAAGCCACGGCUAACUACGUG